AUUGAACGCUGGCGGCAUGCCUUACACAUGCAAGUCGAACGGCAGCGGGCCUUCGGGUGCCGGCGAGUGGCGAACGGGUGAGUAAUGCAUCGGAACGUGCCAUUGAGUGGGGGAUAACGUAGCGAAAGUUACGCUAAUACCGCAUAUUCUGUGAGCAGGAAAGCAGGGGACCGCAAGGCCUUGCGCUCUUUGAGCGGCCGAUGUCAGAUUAGCUAGUUGGUGAGGUAAAGGCUUACCAAGGCGACGAUCUGUAGCGGGUCUGAGAGGAUGAUCCGCCACACUGGAACUGAGACACGGUCCAGACUCCUACGGGAGGCAGCAGUGGGGAA
This 329-nucleotide ribosomal RNA is filed under the name uncultured bacterium. RNAcentral describes it as "bacterial SSU rRNA". It matches the Rfam family "Bacterial small subunit ribosomal RNA", at positions 30 to 361 of the family's 1533-position model. The record is from RNAcentral.